Molecule: ribosomal RNA, 570 nt
Filed under: Salmonella enterica subsp. salamae
Lineage: Bacteria; Pseudomonadati; Pseudomonadota; Gammaproteobacteria; Enterobacterales; Enterobacteriaceae
Description: bacterial SSU rRNA
Rfam family: Bacterial small subunit ribosomal RNA
Source: RNAcentral
ACCUGGUCUUGACAUCCACAGAAUUCUGCAGAGAUGCGGAAGUGCCUUCGGGAACUGUGAGACAGGUGCUGCAUGGCUGUCGUCAGCUCGUGUUGUGAAAUGUUGGGUUAAGUCCCGCAACGAGCGCAACCCUUAUCCUUUGUUGCCAGCGGUUAGGCCGGGAACUCAAAGGAGACUGCCAGUGAUAAACUGGAGGAAGGUGGGGAUGACGUCAAGUCAUCAUGGCCCUUACGACCAGGGCUACACACGUGCUACAAUGGCGCAUACAAAGAGAAGCGACCUCGCGAGAGCAAGCGGACCUCAUAAAGUGCGUCGUAGUCCGGAUUGGAGUCUGCAACUCGACUCCAUGAAGUCGGAAUCGCUAGUAAUCGUGGAUCAGAAUGCCACGGUGAAUACGUUCCCGGGCCUUGUACACACCGCCCGUCACACCAUGGGAGUGGGUUGCAAAAGAAGUAGGUAGCUUAACCUUCGGGAGGGCGCUUACCACUUUGUGAUUCAUGACUGGGGUGAAGUCGUAACAAGGUAACCGUAGGGGAACCUGCGGUUGGAUCACCUCCUUACCUGAAAGAA